CCCUAGUAACGGCGAGUGAAGCGGCAACAGCUCAAAUUUGAAAUCUGGCGUCUUUGGCGUCCGAGUUGUAAUUUGCAGAGGGCGCUUUGGCAUUGGCAGCGGUCCAAGUUCCUUGGAACAGGACGUCACAGAGGGUGAGAAUCCCGUACGUGGUCGCUAGCCUUUACCGUGUAAAGCCCCUUCGACGAGUCGAGUUGUUUGGGAAUGCAGCUCUAAAUGGGAGGUAAAUUUCUUCUAAAGCUAAAUACUGGCCAGAGACCGAUAGCGCACAAGUAGAGUGAUCGAAAGAUGAAAAGCACUUUGGAAAGAGAGUUAAAAAGCACGUGAAAUUGUUGAAAGGGAAGCGCUUGCAGCCAGACUUGCCUGUAGUUGCUCAUCCGGGUUUUUACCCGGUGCACUCUUCUAUAGGCAGGCCAGCAUCAGUUUGGGCGGUUGGAUAAAGGUCUCUGUCAUGUACCUCUCUUCGGGGAGAACUUAUAGGGGAGACGACAUGCAACCAGCCUGGACUGAGGUCCGCGCAUCUGCUAGGAUGCUGGCGUAAUGGCUGUAAGCGGCCCGUCUUGAAACACGGACCAAGGAGUCUAACAUCUAUGCGAGUGUUUGGGUGUCAAGCCCGAGCGCGUAAUGAAAGUGAACGGAGGUGGGAACCCCUCGGGGUGCACCAUCGACCGAUCCUGAUGUCUUCGGAUGGAUUUGAGUAAGAGCAUAGCUGUUGGGACCCGAAAGAUGGUGAACUAUGCUUGAAUAGGGUGAAGCCAGAGGAAACUCUGGUGGAGGCUCGCAGCGGUUCUGACGUGCAAAUCGAUCGUCAAAUUUGGGCAUAGGGGCGAAAG
Molecule: ribosomal RNA, 833 nt
Filed under: Juxtiphoma kolkmaniorum
Lineage: Eukaryota; Fungi; Ascomycota; Dothideomycetes; Pleosporales; Didymellaceae
Description: partial large subunit ribosomal RNA
Rfam family: Eukaryotic large subunit ribosomal RNA
Source: RNAcentral